UACGUACGAGGCGAGCGUUAUCCGGAAUUACUGGGCGUAAAGCGCGCGCAGGCGGAUGUUUAAGUCCGUUGUGAAAUCCCUGGGCUCAACCCAGGAAAUGCUUCGGAUACUGGCGGACUUGAGGCUAGUAGGGGUCACUGGAACUGACGGUGGAGCGGUGAAAUGCGUAGAUAUCGUCAGGAACGCCAAUGGUGAAGACAGGUGACUGGGCUAGUUCUGACACUGAGGCACGAAAGCGUGGGGAUCAAACGGG
RNAcentral lists this ribosomal RNA (253 nucleotides) under uncultured prokaryote. RNAcentral describes it as "partial 16S ribosomal RNA". It matches the Rfam family "Bacterial small subunit ribosomal RNA", at positions 524 to 776 of the family's 1533-position model. The record is from RNAcentral.